GCCUAACACAUGCAAGUCGAACGAUACCUUCGGGUCUAGUGGCGCACGGGUGCGUAACGCGUGGGAAUCUGCCCUUAGGUACGGAAUAACUCAGGGAAACUUGUGCUAAUACCGUAUGAUGUCGAGAGACCAAAGAUUUAUCGCCUAGGGAUGAGCCCGCGUAGGAUUAGCUAGUUGGUGGGGUAAAGGCCUACCAAGGCUACGAUCCUUAGCUGGUCUGAGAGGAUGAUCAGCCACACUGGGACUGAGACACGGCCCAGACUCCUACGGGAGGCAGCAGUGGGGAAUAUUGGACAAUGGGCGAAAGCCUGAUCCAGCAAUGCCGCGUGAGUGAAGAAGGCCUUCGGGUUGUAAAGCUCUUUUACCCGGGAAGAUAAUGACUGUACCGGGAGAAUAAGCCCCGGCUAACUCCGUGCCAGCAGCCGCGGUAAUACGGAGGGGGCUAGCGUGGUACGGAAUCACUGGGCGUAAAGCGUACGUAGGCGGCUUUGUAAGUCAGAGGUGAAAGCCCACGACUCAAUCGUGGAACUGCCUAUGAGACUGCUACGCUUGAAGAUGGGAGAGGUCAGUGGAAUUCCGAGUGU
Molecule: ribosomal RNA, 584 nt
Filed under: uncultured bacterium
Lineage: Bacteria
Description: bacterial SSU rRNA
Rfam family: Bacterial small subunit ribosomal RNA
Source: RNAcentral